RNAcentral lists this long non-coding RNA (1810 nucleotides) under Malus domestica (apple). RNAcentral's name for it is "long non-coding RNA (MDOM_LNC003934)". Lineage: Eukaryota; Viridiplantae; Streptophyta; Magnoliopsida; Rosales; Rosaceae. The record is from RNAcentral.
GACGUGACUUAACCGUAACCACACAAAUAGGAGGGGUGAGAGUGUAUGGGAAGUGGGAGGGCAGAGAAGCCAGGUCCAUAGAAGAGACACUUGAAGGACACCAUGACGUAUGCAAUGGGCACAAAGGGCCUACCUUGGUGGCCAUUUAGGCGAAGAAGAUGGUAUGCUCACAACAUUAAAGGUUAAACCGUCAUAUAAAGUUUGUAGUUCAUGUGGCGUAUUAUCAUUUGUCAGUGGUUAAAUUAUAUCUUCACAAUAAAUUAUCAUUAAUAUAUUAGUUUCGUAUGAUGAUCGAAGAAAGUUAAGAUUUCAUCAAAAAAAAUCAAAUUGGUGUAAACUAGUUUUUCUAGAUAAUGAGUCAAGACGUAAGUGUUAUGCUUGUAUUUCAAGAUUCUGAUUAUAAAAUUGCUAACGCCAUUCUUAUCACAACCUUCUCUAUGGUACGUUGUCUGCUGGCAGCUUCCUGGAUUGUCUUCAUUUCUCAUGCGAAAGGGACAAGGUAAACUACACUACAAGUUUUAAAUGAAUUGAAUCAAGGCAAAUCUCAAAUUUACAUACCACCAAACGGAAGUGUGUACAUAAAGCACCACAAAUUAUAUAAAAUGUGACAUUUAACUCAUUCGAAAUUCAUUUUUUUUCUUUUUAUCAAAACCGAUUUUGUAUCAUAAUGACGUCUUUUGCUAAGUUAAACAAUUAAUCAUAUCUUACGACAACCAACAUAAACCGUUAAUAGUUUUGCUAAUUUGGCACAUAAAUUUUAGGUUAUUUUGCUUUCGAUUUUGAUUCUUUUCCUUGUGUAAGAGUUCAUAGGUUAUUGUCUUUGUAAGUUUGAAAUAGGAUCUGUAGACGAGCAAAGGAUAAAAAUGACGUCUUUGCUAAUACAAAUUACAAAAGAGGAAAAACGAACACAAAACCAAUCUCUCAUGCAUAAAUAAUAAAUAUCUUGCUACUUGAGAUUUAUUUAUUUAUUUUUGAAACGAACAAUGUUAUCUACAUUAAAUAGGUGGGAAAGUGAGCUAAGUCUCAUGAUAGACUAGCAAUAAUGUGAUUUAAAUUCAUCUUUAACGAAAGUCGAACCUAAGACAUCUCACUUAGUAAUAAAAAUGGAUACUGCUAAACUGUAAUAUUAAGUAACUGUUACUUGAGCUAUUAGACAACUGAUUAUAUCUUUUCUAGUCAACGUUAAGAUGUACUCAUCAUUAGCACCUCUUGUACUUGGUUAUUCUUGAACGUGAUUAUUGUCGUAAAUUCAAUGGGUGCUCGAUGAAAUAUUGCAAUGAAAUAAAGUCUAACCCUCCAAGUUUACGAUGUGCUUAGGAAUUUUGAGUGAAACACCUGAGAGUUCAGUACUCGCGCUGCUAGAUGGUCUACUAUGAAAUCGACCUUUUCCCCCUAUGACAUUGAUGGCUCGGCGGCUGCCCACUGUUUUCAGUAACCACACCGUUGUUUUCUUUCCCAUUGAACUAGAUCUUGAAAGUUGUAUUAACUUAUUUAUUAUAAAAAAAAAAUGAAAAGAUAGGAUCUUUUAUCAUAGCAUACGUAAAACAUGGGGUAAAUUACAUAAUAGCUUCUUAGGUUUGAGAUCAAUUACAACCUCAUACAACAACUUUAAAACAUUUCAUUUUCAUACCUCCAGUACCAUUUUAUUUCAAAAUAACACGUCCGUUAGAUUUUCCAUCCAUUAGUCUGUUAAAUGCUGACGUGGCUGCCACAUUUGUGCUGAUGAGGCUGCCACGUGGCAAAAAAAAAAUCUAAUCUUCUAAAUAUUAAAAAUAAAAAAAAAUAAAAAAUAAACCUGAAAGCUUUACCU